AUUAUGGCUCAGGAUGAACGCUGGCGGCGUGCCUAACACAUGCAAGUCGAACGGGACUGUUUAGUGAUGAUUUCGGUCUGAACUUUACAGUUUAGUGGCGGACGGGUGAGUAACGCGUGGAUAACCUGCCUUUCACAGGGGGAUAGCAGCUGGAAACGGCUGGUAAUACCGCAUACGCUCUUUACACCGCAUGGUGCAGAGAGGAAAGAUUUAUCGGUGAAAGAUGGAUCCGCGUCUGAUUAGCCAGUUGGCGGGUAACGGCCCACCAAAGCGACGAUCAGUAGCCGGCCUGAGAGGGCGGACGGCCACAUUGGGACUGAGACACGGCCCAGACUCCUACGGGAGGCAGCAGUGGGGGAUAUUGCACAAUGGGCGCAAGCCUGAUGCAGCGACGCCCGCGUGAGUGAAGAAGUAUUUCGGUAUGUAAAGCUCUAUCAGCAGGGAAGAAAGGCCCUUUUAGGGAGAUGACGGUACCUGACUAAGAAGCCCCGGCUAACUACGUGCCAGCAGCGGC
RNAcentral lists this ribosomal RNA (514 nucleotides) under uncultured bacterium. RNAcentral describes it as "bacterial SSU rRNA". It matches the Rfam family "Bacterial small subunit ribosomal RNA", at positions 16 to 518 of the family's 1533-position model. The record is from RNAcentral.